This 407-nucleotide ribosomal RNA is filed under the name uncultured cyanobacterium. Its description in RNAcentral is "bacterial SSU rRNA". It matches the Rfam family "Bacterial small subunit ribosomal RNA", at positions 355 to 776 of the family's 1533-position model. Lineage: Bacteria; Bacillati; Cyanobacteriota. The record is from RNAcentral.
UGGGGAAUUUUCCGCAAUGGGCGAAAGCCUGACGGAGCAAUACCGCGUGAGGGAGGAAGGUCUUUGGAUUGUAAACCUCUUUUAUUAGGGAAGAAAAAAAUGACGGUACCUAAUGAAUAAGCAUCGGCUAACUCCGUGCCAGCAGCCGCGGUAAUACGGGGGAUGCAAGCGUUAUCCGGAAUUAUUGGGCGUAAAGAGUCCGUAGGUGGUCAUGCAAGUCUGCUGUCAAAGCCCACAGCUUAACUGUGGAUAGGCGGUGGAAACUGCGUGACUUGAGUGCGGUAGGGGUAGAGGGAAUUCCCAGUGUAGCGGUGAAAUGCGUAGAUAUUGGGAAGAACACCGGUGGCGAAAGCGCUCUACUGGACCGUAACUGACACUGAGGGACGAAAGCCAAGGUAGCGAAAGGG